RNAcentral lists this ribosomal RNA (270 nucleotides) under uncultured bacterium. RNAcentral's name for it is "partial 16S ribosomal RNA". It matches the Rfam family "Bacterial small subunit ribosomal RNA", at positions 32 to 312 of the family's 1533-position model. The record is from RNAcentral.
AAUCAACGCUGGCGGCGUGCCUAACACAUGCAAGUCGAACGAGAAAGUGGAGCAAUCCAUGAGUAAAGUGGCGACCGGGUGAGUAACACGUGACUAACCUACCCUACAGUGGGGGAUAACUCCGGGAAACCGGGGCUAAUACCGCAUAACAUCGUAAGAUCAAAGGAGCAAUUCGCUGAAGGAGGGGGUCGCGGCUGAUUAGUUAGUUGGUGAGGUAACGGCUCACCAAGACGAAGAUCAGUAGCCGGCCUGAGAGGGCGCACGGCCACA